GACGGAGGGGGCUAGCGUUGUUCGGAAUUACUGGGCGUAAAGAGCGCGUAGGCGGUUUAGUAAGUUGGAAGUGAAAGCCCGGGGCUUAACCUCGGAAUUGCUUUCAAAACUGCUAAUCUAGAGUGUAGUAGGGGAUGAUGGAAUUCCUAGUGUAGAGGUGAAAUUCUUAGAUAUUAGGAGGAACACCGGUGGCGAAGGCGGUCAUCUGGGCUACAACUGACGCUGAUGCGCGAAAGCGUGGGGAGCAAACAGG
Molecule: ribosomal RNA, 253 nt
Filed under: uncultured bacterium
Lineage: Bacteria
Description: partial 16S ribosomal RNA
Rfam family: Bacterial small subunit ribosomal RNA
Source: RNAcentral